This 496-nucleotide ribosomal RNA is filed under the name uncultured bacterium. RNAcentral describes it as "partial 16S ribosomal RNA". It matches the Rfam family "Bacterial small subunit ribosomal RNA", at positions 28 to 507 of the family's 1533-position model. The record is from RNAcentral.
GACGAACGCUGGCGGCGUGCCUAUACAUGCAAGUUGAGCGCUGAAGGUUGGUACUUGUACCAACUGGAUGAGCAGCGAACGGGUGAGUAACGCGUGGGGAAUCUGCCUUUGAGCGGGGGACAACAUUUGGAAACGAAUGCUAAUACCGCAUAAAAACUUUAAACACAAGUUUUAAGUUUGAAAGAUGCAAUUGCAUCACUCAAAGAUGAUCCCGCGUUGUAUUAGCUAGUUGGUGAGGUAAAGGCUCACCAAGGCGAGGAUACAUAGCCGACCUGAGAGGGUGAUCGGCCACAUUGGGACUGAGACACGGCCCAAACUCCUACGGGAGGCAGCAGUAGGGAAUCUUCGGCAAUGGACGAAAGUCUGACCGAGCAACGCCGCGUGAGUGAAGAAGGUUUUCGGAUCGUAAAACUCUGUUGGUAGAGAAGAACGUUGGUGAGAGUGGAAAGCUCAUCAAGUGACGGUAACUACCCAGAAAGGGACGGCUAACUACGUG